This 253-nucleotide ribosomal RNA is filed under the name uncultured bacterium. Its description in RNAcentral is "partial 16S ribosomal RNA". It matches the Rfam family "Bacterial small subunit ribosomal RNA", at positions 524 to 776 of the family's 1533-position model. The record is from RNAcentral.
UACGUAGGGUGCGAGCGUUGUCCGGAAUUACUGGGCGUAAAGCGCUCGUAGGUGGUUUGUCGCGUUGUUCGUGAAAUCUCACGGCUUAACUGUGAGCGUGCGGGCGAUACGGGCAGACUGGAGUACUGCAGGGGAGACUGGAAUUCCUGGUGUAGCGGUGGAAUGCGCAGAUAUCAGGAAGAACACCCGUGGCGAAGGCGGCUCUCUGGAACGCAACUGACGCUGAGACGCGAAAGCGUGGGGAGCAAACAGG